This 468-nucleotide ribosomal RNA is filed under the name uncultured bacterium. RNAcentral's name for it is "partial 16S ribosomal RNA". It matches the Rfam family "Bacterial small subunit ribosomal RNA", at positions 28 to 507 of the family's 1533-position model. The record is from RNAcentral.
GACGAACGCUGGCGGCGUGCUUAACACAUGCAAGUCGAACGGAAAGGCCCUGCUUUUGUGGGGUGCUCGAGUGGCGAACGGGUGAGUAACACGUGAGUAACCUGCCCUUGACUUUGGGAUAACUUCAGGAAACUGGGGCUAAUACCGGAUAGGAGCUCCUGCUGCAUGGUGGGGGUUGGAAAGUUUCGGCGGUUGGGGAUGGACUCGCGGCUUAUCAGCUUGUUGGUGGGGUAGUGGCUUACCAAGGCUUUGACGGGUAGCCGGCCUGAGAGGGUGACCGGCGACACUGGGAUUGAGAUACGGCACAGACUCCUACGGGAGGCAGCAGUGGGGAAUAUUGCACAAUGGGCGGAAGCCGGAUGCAGCAACGCCGCGUGCGGGAUGACGGCCUUCGGGUUGUAAACCGCUUUCGCCUGUGACGAAGCGUGAGUGACGGUAAUGGGUAAAGAAGCACCGGCUAACUACGUG